GCAUUAGUUCUCUUCCCCACUCUCGCUUAAUGCAAGUUAUCUGGGAAACAGCACAUCCAAGCAUCAUGAGUAGGUUAGACAUUUAUUUGUAGGACAGAUUCAUGCAGCAGAGGCUACAGAAAUGGGAGUCUGGCAGGAAAGUGUGUGUGAAAGCCAAGGAAGGCUCUGAAAGUUGCAUAAUGUGGUGCUCCCACAAGAAAGGCACUAAGGUAAUGGGAGCGGUGGGGACCUGAGCAGAUGGGAGGCAGUGUGGUGGCACGGUGGGACUGAGAGGCAGAAAGCAGGAGGAACCCUGCUUACCUUCUGCAAGCGCCACUGCAGGACAGACGGAGGAGGAGCCAACUAGCGGAACUGGGAGACCCAUGGUUCCAACGCUAAGGCUCCCGCUGAGGAAUACAAACUCACCCUGGCCCCAGUUGUGAUUCAGCACCAGCCACUGUCCACUCCAGCUGAAAUCCUAAUGGGGAUGAUUCCAAGACUAACUAGUUUCUGAGAUAUCAGCAAGGAUUCCAGGAAUCUCCCAGAGCCAGACGCAGAAGACAGAUCAUCCGAUUUCUAGAGCAAAGCCCUUUC
Molecule: long non-coding RNA, 573 nt
Organism: Homo sapiens (human)
Lineage: Eukaryota; Metazoa; Chordata; Mammalia; Primates; Hominidae
Gene: AOAH-IT1
Product: AOAH intronic transcript 1
Source: Ensembl